GACGAACGCUGGCGGCGUGCCUAAUACAUGCAAGUAGAACGCACAGUUUAUACCGUAGCUUGCUACACCAUAGACUGUGAGUUGCGAACGGGUGAGUAACGCGUAGGUAACCUGCCUGGUAGCGGGGGAUAACUAUUGGAAACGAUAGCUAAUACCGCAUAAUAUUAAUUAUUGCAUGAUAAUUAAUUGAAAGGUGCAAUUGCACCACUACCAGAUGGACCUGCGUUGUAUUAGCUAGUAGGUGAGGUAACGGCUCACCUAGGCGACGAUACAUAGCCGACCUGAGAGGGUGAUCGGCCACACUGGGACUGAGACACGGCCCAGACUCCUACGGGAGGCAGCAGUAGGGAAUCUUCGGCAAUGGACGAAAGUCUGACCGAGCAACGCCGCGUGAGUGAAGAAGGUUGUCGGAUCGUAAAGCUCGGUUGUAAGAGAAGAACGGGUGUGAGAGUGGAAAGUUCACACUGUGACGGUAUCUUACCAGAAAGGGACGGCUAACUACGUG
This 505-nucleotide ribosomal RNA is filed under the name uncultured bacterium. Its description in RNAcentral is "partial 16S ribosomal RNA". It matches the Rfam family "Bacterial small subunit ribosomal RNA", at positions 28 to 507 of the family's 1533-position model. The record is from RNAcentral.